Non-coding RNA from Caretta caretta (loggerhead turtle), 4152 nucleotides. Lineage: Eukaryota; Metazoa; Chordata; Testudines; Cheloniidae. The record is from RefSeq and is a predicted model, not a curated record.
GAGCGCUCGGGCGGGGCGGUGUCUCCCCCCAGUGCGGGGGGAUGGGGAAGGGGUGUCUCCCGGCCCGCCCAGCCCCCUCCAGGAGAGGCGGCUGCUCCUGGCAGGGCCUCCCUCCUUCGCUGGGCGGCGGCUGGCGCCCAGGCUGCGGCCUGUGGCGUUUGAAGGCCCGACCGGGGAGCUGCGGCCGGCCUGGCUAGCCGGGCUCCUCACAGCGCCCCUACGCCCGGGCACCAUGCCCAGCCGUCCCCGCUGCCGAGCACGGGUGGGGCGGGCUUCGCUGUGGCGGGCACGCGGGGAUCGAGCCCCGCUGGGCGACCGCCGCCCUCGGGCCUGCCGUGACCCUGUGGCUCUGGGCAGGGGGAGUCCCGCCCACCCCCGAGGCCGUCGAUACCCGUGAGGGGACCAGGCUGCGGCCCGUGCAGUCCCCCGGUGCAGCGGCAGCCUAGCCCCAAGAAGGGCUGGCUUUGGUGGGUGCCGCGCUCUUCUCUCCCCCCCGUUACUCGGGGUGAUGGUGGCGGCUUGCAGCGCCCACUGAAAUGUCUGAGCAGACCUAGGGAGGAUCAGGGACAUUCAAUUGAGAAGGGAGACAGACCGGAGCUGAGGCUCUGGGGGGUGUAUCCGGCACUCACCGAGUUCAUUAGAGCGACGCUGGAAGGGCUAUGUUAUCCCGCGCCCGCAGGUGGUAGGAAAUAACCUACCUUCUUCUGCGAACUAAAUGGCAGGAGCAAGAGCUGCACAGGUGUACAGGGCUAGCUGUAGUUAAUCAGUUUCAGUCAGAGGCAGUCUUUUAUAUACAAAAACAAUGCCCUUACCUUGUUCGUUUUGGAUAAGAGCACUGGCUCAGGCAUAUGCUUUUAUUGCAGUAAACGAUAGCUUGAACAGUGAUUUCCUAAUUGUGAAACACUUGAUAUACAUCUCAGCCUCAGGGUAAUUCUGGUAGAGGCCUUGCACCUCUGUAUUCACUGCCUGGGAAAAUGCACAGAACAUUAAUCCUGGCACUUUUAGUAAAAGCUACAAAUUGCACCAUUUUUGCCUUGGCCUUCCCAGUUGAUCUAAUUCCUAGCUGACUGGUUGGAUUAAAGGCACAUUUUGUCACAUUAAGAUAAUUAAUGUCUCAAUGUAAACUGUCCAGAUACCUCAUAAUGCUUACUUUUUACCAUGUAUUAAAAAACACUACACGUUUUCUUCUCUUCCCCCUUUCACAAACUUUCUUCAUUCUCCUGUGAUGUGGUAGUUCUCAUCUCAAGGGGCCCCCACUGUGCUCCACCUACUACAGACAGAGGAGCAUUUGUGGUAGAGACGAGAGAAACAGAUCCAGCAGAAAGAGUAACAUGAAAAGCUCUUGCUGCUGGCAUGAUAGUAGUAGUUGGUGUGGGGGUGGCAGAACAGACCUUAUUCAGGGCUACAAGUCCCCACAGUGAAACAGUAGCAUGAUCUCUGAUAUCUAGAACAACUGACUGCUGUUGUAAUAGCAUUUUGUUCUUAAAAUAUUUUUUACCAAUAGCUUGUAAAAAUGCUAUACUUCAAGAGGUCUGAGAAACAAAUGUGCAUGCUCCCCAACUGCAUGUGUUACUAUAGAAUUACUGCAGUUGAGAAUAAACCAGCCCUCCUUUGACUGGAUUUGCAGUAGGUAUUUCUGUUUAGAUCAUAUCUUGUAAGUGCUGUUCAUCAUGCUGAGGUUCAAAAGCUACGUUUAAAGUAAUCUCGGAGAUCUUACUUUAACCCACAAAAGCAAGCAAGGAAAUUUCAUAGUUAAAACUAAAAAUCUGAGAUGACAUUCUGGCUUUCACUCAUUGUGUGUUUGGCUUUUAUAGCUGAACGCUUUGCAUAAUAACCAAGAGAAAGUUAGUUUGUAUAAUUCUUAACUUGUGAACAUUAGUAGGCUCUUUCAAGAGAUGUUGCUAUCGUUUGGAACCCGUACAGUUUGUUGGAUCGUGUCAGAUAUAGUUGAGAUGAUGGAUUAUAAUGGCUCCUUUGGAGUUCUCAUGGUUGAUUAGAAAAUGAGUUUUCUAUUUUCUGAUCUGUCCUUCUAAAAACAUGUUUUGUGCCCGUACAAUAAACCCAUGUUUAAAAUCUUUAGAAUUUUUAGUUGCAUAUGAAUUUUCUUGUCUGUGACAUUUCAGUUUAAAUUCACUAAAAUCAUUUAUUUUUAUUUUUAGUGCUUAUGAAGGGUGUUAGUCUUGACAGCUUUGGAAACUAAAGUCUCCUAAAAGAAUAGGCAAAUCAUGGGUAGUAGUUAUUGAGAGGUAAUUCAGAGUCUAUCCUCACAGCAAAGAAAAACCCAUGGCUGGGCUGUGCCCACUCACGUGGGCUUGCAUGCCUUGGGCUGCAGAACUGUUUCAUUGACACCUGAGCUCUGGGACCGUUGUGCCUCACAGGUUCCUAGAGUCUGGGCUGCAGGCUGAGCCCAGAAGUCUACACAGCAAUGAAACAGCCCCACUGGCUGAGCUCUGUGAGUUUGAGUCAGCUGCCGCAGGCCAGCUGCAGGUAUCGUUGCAGCUUCAGGUGGUUCCUACUGGUCACUAUUGAGGUGCACUUCCUGAUGUGAAGAAUCUUUCCCCGCCUCUGUGUGCGUGUAUUGAUUAAAACGAGGACUGUAGUGCAAUGAAACUUCCACCUUUCACAAACACUAAAUUCACUCAGAUAAAAAUUGCUUCUGAGCUGAAACCUUGUGGCCAAGUUGAAUGAUUACAGACAAGGUGGAUGAGGUAAUAUUUUUAUUGGACCAACUUUUGUUGGUGAGGCCUGGUCUACACUAUGAGUUUAUGUUGGAUUUAGCAGUGUUAUAUCCGAAUUAACCUUGCACCCGUCCACACAACGAAGCCAUUUUUUCAAGAUAAAGGGCUCUUAAAACCAAUUUCUGUACUCCUCCCCAACGAGGGGAUUAGUGCUGAAAUCGACAUCGCUGUUUCGAAUUAGGGUUAGUGUGGACGCAAUUCAAAGGUAUUGACCUCCGGGAGUUAUCCCACAGUGCACCAUUGUGACCUCUCUGGACUGCACUCUGAACUCGGAUGCACUGGCCAGGUGUACAGGAAAAGCGCUGGGAGCUUUUGAAUCUCAUUUCCUGUUUGGCCAAGCUAGCUAAUCAGCACAGGUGACCAUGCAGUCCCAGAAUCGAAAAAGAGCUCCAGCAUGCACCGAACGAGAGGUACUGGAUCUGACCACUGUAUGGUGAAAAGGAAUCUGUGCUAUCAGAACUACGUUCCAAAAGACAAAAUGCCAAAACAUUUCAAAAAAUCUCAGAGGCCAUGAGGGACGCAACACAGUGCCCCAUGAAACUUAAGGAGCUCAGAAAAGCGUACCAGAAAACCAAAGAAUCAAACAGACGCUCUGGGACAGAGACCCAGACAUGCCGCUUCUAUGCUGAGUUGCAUGCAAUUCUAGGGGGGGCCACCACCACGACCCCACCCCUGUCCAUAGUCUCCGAUGAUGGGGUACUCUCCGCCAUGGCUGAGGAUUUUGCGGACGGGGAAGAUGAGGAGGAGGAGAACGAGCUUGGGGAGAGCACACAGUACACUGUUCUCCCUGACAGCCAGGAUCUUUUUAUCACCCUGACUGAAAUACCCUCCCAACCCAAUGAAGCCGGAGAGUGUACCUCUGCAGCUGCAAAUGUUUCAAGCCUCCCUUCUCCAUCCCAAAGGCUAUCUCAGAUAAGGUGGCGAAAAAAACACACACGCGAUGACAUGUUCUCUGAGCUCAGGCACUGACAGAGCUGUGUGGAGGGACACAAUAGCAGAGUACAGGACAGUGGCCGAUGAACGUGAGGAGAAGUGGCGGCAGGAAGAUCAGAGGAGGCAUGAGGCAACGCUGGGCUACUGCGGGAUCAAACGGACAUGCUCCGGUGUCUAGUGGAGGUUCAUGAACGGCAGCAGGAUCACAGACUGCCGCUGCAGUCCCUGCUUAACUGCCCUCUGUCCUCCCCAAGUUCCAUAGCCUCCUCACCCAGAUGCCCAAGAACGCGGGGUGGAAGGCUCCAGGCACCCAACCACUCCACCCCAGUGGACAGCCCAAGCAACAGAAGGCUAGCAUUCAACAAGUUUUGAAGUGGCCUUUUCCUUCCCUCCUACCCUCCUCCCACACCCCACCCUGCUACCUUGUCAGUUAUCUCCCUAUUUUUAUAAUCAAUUAAUAAAGAAUACAUGUUUUUUUAAA